This is a non-coding RNA of Nocardiopsis sp. TSRI0078, 112 nucleotides long. NCBI's taxonomy places the organism in Bacteria, Bacillati, Actinomycetota, Actinomycetes, Streptosporangiales, Nocardiopsidaceae. The record is from Rfam.
CACACAUCCCGCGGGAGCCGGGUGGAACCCGGCUGAGAGGGAGGCUGUGAGCCUCCGACCGCACGAACCUGAUCCGGAUCAUGCCGGCGAAGGGAGGGGAACUCAGCGCCGU